Molecule: ribosomal RNA, 253 nt
Filed under: uncultured bacterium
Lineage: Bacteria
Description: partial 16S ribosomal RNA
Rfam family: Bacterial small subunit ribosomal RNA
Source: RNAcentral
UACGUAGGAUCCUAGCGUUGUCCGGAUUUACUGGGUGUAAAGGGUGCGCAGGCGGACUUAUAAGUCAGUGGUGAAAUCUCGGCGCUUAACGCCGAAACUGCCUUUGAUACUAUAAGUCUUGAGUUUGGUAGAGAUCCGUGGAAUUCCGAGUGUAGCAGUGAAAUGUGUAGAUAUUCGGAAGAACACCAGCGGCGAAGGCAGCGGAUUGGGCCAAUACUGACGCUCAGGCACGAAAGCAUGGGGAUCAAACAGG